GACGAACGCUGGCGGCGUGCCUAAUACAUGCAAGUUGAGCGAUGAAGAUUGGUGCUUGCACCAAUUUGAAGAGCAGCGAACGGGUGAGUAACGCGUGGGGAAUCUGCCUUUGAGCGGGGGACAACAUUUGGAAACGAAUGCUAAUACCGCAUAACAACUUUAAACAUAAGUUUUAAGUUUGAAAGAUGCAAUUGCAUCACUCAAAGAUGAUCCCGCGUUGUAUUAGCUAGUUGGUGAGGUGAAGGCUCACCAAGGCGAUGAUACAUAGCCGACCUGAGAGGGUGAUCGGCCACAUUGGGACUGAGACACGGCCCAAACUCCUACGGGAGGCAGCAGUAGGGAAUCUUCGGCAAUGGACGAAAGUCUGACCGAGCAACGCCGCGUGAGUGAAGAAGGUUUUCGGAUCGUAAAACUCUGUUGGUAGAGAAGAACGUUGGUGAGAGUGGAAAGCUCAUCAAGUGACGGUAACUACCCAGAAAGGGACGGCUAACUACGUG
RNAcentral lists this ribosomal RNA (497 nucleotides) under uncultured bacterium. Its description in RNAcentral is "partial 16S ribosomal RNA". It matches the Rfam family "Bacterial small subunit ribosomal RNA", at positions 28 to 507 of the family's 1533-position model. The record is from RNAcentral.